CCACAAUGCUCGCGUGUUUACACUCUUCUGUCAUGGCGUCCGACACUGACGACGAGGAAGAGAUGCUCUCGCCUGCUGGCUCUACAAGACAAUGAACUGAAGAGACGUUGGCAGGUCGGGUCAGCGAUAUGGUGGUGCUAUCAACCAAGCCGAAGCAGAGGACCGCUGGCAAUGGUGUCAGGAGCACACUUUAUAAAGCAGUGCGGGGGGAGCUGCCUGAUCCCGACGUCCUUAAAGUAGCAGAGGCUUAUAAGGACUUUCCAGCUGAUAUCGCACCGCUGAUCACCAACAUGUCAAUUAGUGCUGAAGUCCCACUGGUCAGCUCAAAAUUUGGUGAUGUUCAGGAGGGGAGUCCAGUCUCUUACCAACACCCGGUGCCUGUGAGCCGUGUGAUUCUGAUCCACCCAGAUGCCCGUCCACCGCCACCUCUACCAUUGGAUAAUUGUAGGCUCGCACCCACCAGUUGCUAGUAUCGGAGUAGUCUUCAAGAGCAGCUACAGCUGCGAUCGCUAUCAAACAAUCUUGAUAUGGCGAGGAAAAUAGAGGCUGCUACGAGGGAGCAGAGUGCAUGUGUGGAGUGGCACCGAGUCAGGAGGGAUAGGGUGACAUCUUCCCACUUCAGAGAGGUUUGCCAUGUUCGGGGUGCCAGGUCGGCAGAACACCUUGCUGAGCGGAUGAUCAAGGGUGUGGUUCAAACUCCACUGAUGAAACGGGGGUUGGCAUUGGAUCCUGCUGCCAUACAAGACUAUUGCCGGGUUAAAAAUACCAAUUACUGGCCAUGUGGGUUCAUCAUCCACCCAGACGCUCCCUGGUUAGGAUCCUCUCCUGAUGGGGUUGUGUUUGACCCAACAGAAAAUCCACCCUUUGGCCUGCUGGAGAUAAAAUGUCCAAAUGUGAAAAGCUACGUUGGCUGUAAGUACUUGAAAGUGGAAGGUGACACCAUGACAUUGAAAAAGCAGCAUUCCUACUUCUGGCAGACGAAAGGCCAGCUCCUGGUUUCAGGGAUGUAGUGGUGUGACUUUGUAGUGUGUGCGGAAGAGGAUAUGGUGAUCCAGAGGCUCUACAAAGAUGCUGAUGUUGCUACAACCAUUAGGGAGAAAGGGGAUUACUUCUUUUUCAACAUUUACAUGUCUGUUUGCUUGAAGGAUAAGCAGUAAGUGGUAAUGUAUGUAAAAUUUGUAUGACUGCCAUGUGUUCUGUCAGUGGAGAAUAGAAUUGCUCUUUGGUUUGUAAUAUGUUUUUACAAUAAAUCUGUUUUUAU
RNA transcript from Lampris incognitus (smalleye Pacific opah), 1261 nucleotides. RefSeq lists it as uncharacterized. The transcript is spliced from 4 exons. Lineage: Eukaryota; Metazoa; Chordata; Actinopteri; Lampriformes; Lampridae. The record is from RefSeq and is a predicted model, not a curated record.